This is a long non-coding RNA of Ooceraea biroi (clonal raider ant), 893 nucleotides long. RefSeq lists it as uncharacterized. The record is from RefSeq and is a predicted model, not a curated record. Lineage: Eukaryota; Metazoa; Arthropoda; Insecta; Hymenoptera; Formicidae.
GUCACGUGCGCAAGAGCAUACCCUUGUAUUUAUACCAUGGCCUAUACUAGAGAGCCUUUAAUAAGAGAGUCGACAACUCGUUACGUGACCAAUCGCGCGCUAAUUGGCUGAGGGCCAAAUGCACACCUAUAGCCUUUUGAAAUUAGGUUCAAAUGAAAUAAAAUUCAAAUGAAAUUAGGUUCAAAUGAAGUGAAAUUCAAAUGAAAUUAGGUUCAAUGCGAGGAGAAGAGCAGUGUCAGUUGGACUGUGCGGGUAGUGCUAAUCGGUGAUUUUCUUAUCUCCACUCUCUUUCUUUGCAAUAAUUAAUAGUUAAUAUGCCGGGCUGUGCAGCCAAGUUUUGUUAUAACAGAUACGACAAAGGAUAUGUCAUGCUCUCCUCGCAGUGCGAGGCCAGUGAUGGUAGAUUCGGGCCGCUGCCAGCACGGAAUAGGAGUGGAGGGGGUAUGUCACGUGACGCUGCGUGACGCACCAUUUAUCGUCUCGUGUCCGUGAGCGCUCGGGAUCUCGGUCAACUUCGGCCGACUUCGGGGCUCGUUCAGGCUCGCUCGCGACGACGCGACCAACGUUUGUGGCUCGCGGCUCGCUGAUCAGCUGAUGUGCCGUACAAUACGGCCAAUGACAUAUAUAAAUAGACCAAGCAUUCCCUCAAAAACGUGAAAGCGGAAGUUGGCAGCGAGACUGAAGGACAGAGCUACUUUGCGUCUACUGCUCUCUCACUUCGAUGUACGAUGUAGAGUGAGAGAGCAGUAGACGCAAAGUAGCUCUGUCCUUCAGUCUCGCUGCAAAUUCCGGUGAGGGUCUGCUGUAGAGAGAAUGCUUGGUCUAUUUAUAUAUGUCGUUGAAUACGGCAGCUGUCAAUUCUGUCAAAUUUGUAUUGAUGAAACACGAUGAAA